This 1060-nucleotide long non-coding RNA is filed under the name Citrus x clementina. RNAcentral describes it as "Citrus clementina (C. clementina) long non-coding RNA (CCLE_LNC005258)". The record is from RNAcentral. Lineage: Eukaryota; Viridiplantae; Streptophyta; Magnoliopsida; Sapindales; Rutaceae.
AAACAUAAAAUAAAAAAAAUGGUAGAAAUGGGAGAGGUGGGAGAGGUGGGAGUGGAUUCCUACUCCCACCUCCCCCAAUGGGAGUCUAACUCCCACUCCCCACUCCAAAAAUAGGUGGAGCCCACGGAGUGAGACUCCCAAUCUCUCCCCAUUUUAAGUAAGUAAACGCUGGAGUGAGAGAAAUCCACACUCCUCACUCCCACUCCACCAAAUAAACACAACAUAAGAAGCAUCGAUCACCAUCACCUUUAUUAAAAUUGCAUGUUAAGAAGUCGUUUGAUUCAAAAUCCUGACAUAAUCUUUUGCAUUUAAAUAUAGCAUAUUGGUAAUUAAAGCCCCUUUCCACAACUCUAACCGUGUGCGUAAGAUUCUAACUUUAAUUCUCUUUUGUCAACCGUAGGAUUUUAUCAACCCGACCAUCAUUUUAACAUACAUUCCUAUUUGUUUAAUCUCUUGCAAAUACAAUUGGUGAACAGCUCAUCAUCGCCUGGUCUCAUUCUCCAUUAAUUGUAGGAGUCCAUUUUUUUUUCCUGCUUGAUGAGCGAAUUUUUUAAGCGAACUUCUGAAGUAACUAUUUGUAAAACAAUUUCCGCAAUAUAAUAAAGUAAAAAUUUAAACUAACAAGUAACAUUUAAAUGUUGUAACUGAUCGCUUACUCUUUGCCGCUCAAGUCAAUUUAACUCCGUUGCUAAAAAAUUAAUGCUAAAAAAUUUGAGUGAAAAAUCUCUACGAAAAGAUAGGUAUGUAAAAUCUAAGAGUGAUGAUAUAACUACAAACUCUUGUACAAAUUUAUCUUACACAAAUUGAUGUGGCAUUAAUUCAUUGAUUGAAUGAAAAUAUAAAAAAAUAAAAAUAAAUCAUGUGGGCCAAGAGAUAUUUAAUUCAAUUAAUGAAUUAAUAUUAUGUCAAUUUGUGCAAAAUAAGUUUGUACAAGAGUUUGUGACUAUAUCAUUGCCCAAAAUCUAAACGACUUUUUAUUUGAAAUUAAAAUUUAAGUCUAUGUAACUUUUAAUGGGCUCAACUUUCUCCCUCAAUCAAGAAUAAUUGAGUAGAGGUCAUU